CACUUGCGUUAGGGAUUGUAGUGGAAAUCCUUUUUUGAAGCUCUUUUUGCUUCAAAAAAGAUUGUAACGGAAAGCCCGACCCUUG
Molecule: small RNA, 85 nt
Filed under: Flavobacterium saliperosum
Lineage: Bacteria; Pseudomonadati; Bacteroidota; Flavobacteriia; Flavobacteriales; Flavobacteriaceae
Description: Flavo-1 RNA
Rfam family: Flavo-1 RNA
Source: RNAcentral